UGCUCUCCAUACCCCAGAGCCGGGUGCCCAGU
RNAcentral lists this non-coding RNA (32 nucleotides) under Homo sapiens (human). The record is from RNAcentral. Lineage: Eukaryota; Metazoa; Chordata; Mammalia; Primates; Hominidae.